AUUAAACUGCGUUCUAAUUCAGGAAGCUCAUUUGCAAAGCAGCACAGGAAAGAGCCCUGAUGAAGGGACCUGGCCUGAAAUGUCGACUGUUUCUUCGCCUCCAUAGGUGCUGCCUGACUUGUCGAAUUCCUCCAGCAUUUUUGUGUGUGCUGCUCGAGCCGGCAGGCGGUAGGUGAGCACAGAAGCGGUAUGCCAUUGCUGCCUUCAGGACAAUGUCUUCACAAGAUGGGUGACCCCAGCCAUUAUCAAUACUCUUCAGAGACUGUCUGCCUGGUGUCAGUGGUCGCAUAACCAGGACUUGUGAUCUGCACCGGCUGCUCAUACGACCAUCCACCACCUGCUCCCAUGGCUUCACCUGACCCUGAUCGGGGGUUGGGGGGGGUGUUAAGCAGGUGCUACACCUGGCCCAAGAGACUGCAGGCUAGUGGAGGGAAGGUGCGCCUUUCACCUCCUUUGGUAGUGACAUAUUUCCACCCCACAACCCUUGAUGGUAAUAAAGAGGAAAGGCAUGUCCCAGUGGCGAGGAUCCUUAGUAGUGGAUGUGUGGUGAACUACAUAUACCUGUCUGGACACGCCCCCGCUGACUGCUCCUGUGGCUCCUCCCACAGACCCCUGUAUAAAGGCGAUCAAGGCCUGAACCCGGCCUCUCAGUCUCCAGGAUGUAGUAUGGUGGUCACUCGCUGCUUGUUCCUUCUUCCAGUCAAUAAAAGCCAAUAUCUCGCCUUACGUCUCAGAGUGAGUUAUUGAUGGUGCAUCAGGAUGCCUGCCUUGCUGAGGAACUGUGCCUCGAAGGUGGUUUCAGUAAUGGGGAGGAUGGUGCCAUAUGGGAGCUGGCUAAAUCUACAACCUCCUUCACCUUCUUGCAAUCCUGUGUAUUGGAGUGUCCACACCAUACAACCAGUCAGAGUGCCUUCCACUAUACACCAACAGAACUUUUUAAGUCUUAGGUGACACACAAAAUCUCCUCAAACUAUUGGAAGUGGGGCCGCUGAUGUGCCUUUUUCAGGAUACAUCAAUGUGUUGGGCCCCGGGUAGAUGCUGACACCCACAAACUUGAAACCGCUCCCCGUUCCCAUUACUGACCCCUCAAUGGGGACUGGUGUGCUUUCUCCCAGCUUCGCCUUCCUGAAGUUUACCGUCAAUUCCUUGGUCUUAACGGAUGUAGAGCACGAGUUUCUUGUCAUGACGCCAUUUGAUGUUGAGGGUGUGUUGUCAGGCUCCUGUACCUCCCCCUUGAUGAUAGCAACAAGAAAAGGCCAUGUUCUAGAUGGUGAGGGAUCCUUAAUGGUAAAUGUCACUUCUUUGAGGUACAAGCUCUUGAGAAUGUCUUUGAAGGUAACGCCCAUGACGGAGC
This is a long non-coding RNA of Hypanus sabinus (Atlantic stingray), 1354 nucleotides long. RefSeq lists it as uncharacterized. The transcript has 3 exons. NCBI's taxonomy places the organism in Eukaryota, Metazoa, Chordata, Chondrichthyes, Myliobatiformes, Dasyatidae. The record is from RefSeq and is a predicted model, not a curated record.